CCAAAUCUCUGCCCAUACAAACGUUUGUACAACUCAGCCACCACAUGAGUACUCGGUUGAAAUCCCACUUAACUCUAUCUUACGUAUAAUUUCUCGGCCUAUACUCGAUACAUACUUCUUUAUCUCAUCAUUUAUAACUCCUCGUGAGUUAAUCUCGUACUAUAUCAUAGUACAUUCUCGUUAUAGUUCCAAACUAUAACCAUUCAAUCAUUACCGACCAUCUGUCUUUUACAACUUUAAAACGAAUCACAAUGUGAUCUUAUUCUAUAAUCAUCUCCCUUCUGAUUCUUUUCUUAUCUAAUUAUCGUUUUGUUUUAAAAACUUCUUAUCUUUACCUUUCAUCAUAUCAUACUAUGAUUUCAUUUAUGCUUUUGAUCUUAUAGACCUUGUCUAUUCAUCGUUAUUCGUCAUCUUGAUUAUUGGAGGUAGGAAACUCCUGAUUCUUAUCUACAUAUCUCUUCAAGAUUCUUCUUUGAAUCUUCUUGUUUAUUUAUUAACUCUUCCUUUAAGAAUUUAAUAUAAU
This 523-nucleotide long non-coding RNA is filed under the name Panax ginseng (ginseng). Its description in RNAcentral is "long non-coding RNA (PGIN_LNC005255)". The record is from RNAcentral. Lineage: Eukaryota; Viridiplantae; Streptophyta; Magnoliopsida; Apiales; Araliaceae.